This is an RNA transcript of Folsomia candida, 2101 nucleotides long. RefSeq lists it as uncharacterized. The transcript is spliced from 9 exons. The record is from RefSeq and is a predicted model, not a curated record. Lineage: Eukaryota; Metazoa; Arthropoda; Collembola; Entomobryomorpha; Isotomidae.
AUGAGAUGUUCGUCUAAUCAUCAAUUCAUUCAUCAUCCACAAUCCACACGUACAUACAAAUGCAGUCUGAUUUGCAUUCAUUAACAGCAGGUUGCACGGCACUAUCAAGACAUUUCUAUUUAUCGUCGUUUGUUUAGUAUGGAUUCUUCCUGUGACAGGUUUGAAGAUAAGUACCGUAACGUCCCCGUUCAACAAGUAGGAAACGCCAACAACGAGCCGAUUGUCAUUACAGAGGUUACAACCACCCGAACAAUCACGAUCAGUGAUGAUGCCGACUUAAAAUCGGAUCCAAAUAUUGCCAGUCUUAUUGCACAAUUUUCGGAUACUGAAUUGCAUUCUUCUGAUCCGAAUCCGACGAUGGGGGUACGUAAUGCACACUAUAUUCCUCCAGUUAACGACUAUUGUGGUGGAGAGGAUGAUACCAGUGUAUACUACAUUUCUGAGGACGAAGAGGCUAAUCAGAAAGCUAUUCGUAGCAGGUCACAUAUUAAGUCACAUAAGGGAAAAUCUUCUGUGCAGCCAAGAAAUGGAGCUUAUUCAUCUAUUCGAUCAUCGCCUCCUCCUUCGCAUUCUAAAUUCUUCUUAUCGUCAGAGGAUAUUCUGUCACCGCUUGGUUCGUUUUCGGAACUUGAGGCAACUUCAGAUGUCGCAAAAAUGAUCAAAGCAUACACAAUAAACAGCAUAUACAUCCAACGUGGCUCCAGUAUGAAGGUGAAAGUUUGUAGAAUUUUGAAAAAGAAGGGACUGCUGCCCAACUUCUUGUCAGGAAAUGGUGACGUAACGAAGUCGGAACAUAGAAAAAGGAAAACCAACGCUCAGAACAAUGUGUUGGCAAUGCUUUUAUGGUUCAAAACGACGCCUGAUUCGGUCAGGCGUUUGGCUGCCGGAGAAGAUUCGUGCACCGCAUUUUAUGAUAGAGCAUCCCGUGCCCUCCCCUCUGCUGCGGACAAAAUGCACGACAACUGGAGACAAACAGUACUGUUAUGCAAGGUGACACUCGGAAAUAUGUUAAAAUCUGAACAUGGAUAUUCUCACUGGCGCAAAUGUCAUCGCCCUCCAAAGGGCUGUGAUUCUGUAAAAGGGGUCGGAAAAUAUACUCCAAAUUGGAAAAAGAAUCUAUCCCAUAAGUCGACCAUUGUUCCAGUUGGGGAGACGGAAAAGUCAACUCGCUUCCCUUCCUUCGAAAUCGACUACAAUGAAUACAUGGUUUUCCAGUCGCAUCAAAUCAAACAUGUGCAGCCAGUUACGUUACUUGUAAUGUUUCUUCAUUACUUAUAAUAAAUACUCGUUUCUAUUAGCAACCAGCACAAUAGAAACAUGUAAGCUCUGCACUUACAUAUGCAAAUAUCUAAACAUGUAAAUAUGUAUGUACAUGUAUGCACUUUUAGAAAUCCAGUAUUAAAAUAGUACCAAGUGGUAUUCAGAAAUGACUACAAAAAUGGUAUUCAUAACUAAUGCUCUGACGUAAUCAUGUUUCGUUUUCUCCCAUGUGAGUAAAAUUUCACGGUGAAAAUGCAAAUUCUCUUUCACGUUUUCCAUCAUAACUUUGUUUAAUUAAACUGAGCAUUAUGAAAAAUCCUGAAACACGUGUUUAAUCAUUUAUCUAAGAAUACAUGAUUAUCAUUUUUUCGUCAAAAUCGGAGCUAGACCGCUGGCGUCAUAUUGCAAGUAAUAGGUACCACUGAGAAUUCAAUUAUACCAGAUUUCUAAGUGUGUGCAUAUACAUACACAUGUAUGAUGUUGAUGCAUUUCUUGUCCACGUCCACGGGUGACAGGGGAAUUUAAUUUGGUGUUCCACGCAUCCACACCCACUGGAGAAUUAAUUGCAUAUGCACCGCAUCCAGACUAAUGAGGAUUUAAUUUGGUAUCUAUUAUUGAUGACAACUUAACGAGACUUAAAAACAAAAAAUAAACUAAUUCUUAAAAAAAACUUAGAAUUAGUUUAUAGAGCUUUGAGAGGACCUAUUAUAUUAAGCAUGUAUUACUCAUCAUCCCUCUUAUGGAUAUUCAUGAAGCUUUGCCAUGGCCAAACUCUAAGCAUUUCAUGAUGUGUAUUAAUAUAUAAUAGUGUGGUUGAAUAUUAAAUAAUAUGUAUAUGAAA